RNAcentral lists this long non-coding RNA (505 nucleotides) under Sorghum bicolor (sorghum). RNAcentral's name for it is "long non-coding RNA (SBIC_LNC008659)". The record is from RNAcentral. Lineage: Eukaryota; Viridiplantae; Streptophyta; Magnoliopsida; Poales; Poaceae.
ACAUCACCACAACCGGCUAGGACAUAGAACCCUCAGCUAUACUCUCUUGUAUUCGCCCCUGUACAAGCACUUAGGUGCAAGAUAAUACACACUCUCCCCCCUCCCCCGCUGGACAUAGGGCCUUCCUUUGCCCAAACCAGGAUAAACCCUUGUGUAAUUCUUGCAUAAUCAUCCGGAAAAGGGAGCACGCACACAAAUUCACUCGUUGGUGUUACCCCCCGAGGUCAAAACACCGACAUUAACUUUCAAAGCCCUGAGCAGUAGACAGCAAAGACAUAGAUCAUUUCUUGAACCUGAAAGUGGCAAAAAAUGAGCACUCAAAGAUUGUGAGCAAGGAAAAAAAUAAAGAAAAACUAAAGCAAUUUUAGAUAUCAAAUAGAAUUUUCAAGUUCAAUCCAGCUAAUCGAUACAAAUUUGUGUACCCUACAGACAGGUUAUUUCUACAACAAUGAUGCAGAAAUGGCUCACGAAGGACCUUUUUCCAUUAGAUAUGCUGAAGCCACCC